Long non-coding RNA from Amblyraja radiata (thorny skate), 2137 nucleotides. RefSeq lists it as uncharacterized. Lineage: Eukaryota; Metazoa; Chordata; Chondrichthyes; Rajiformes; Rajidae. The transcript has 2 exons. The record is from RefSeq and is a predicted model, not a curated record.
CACAGGAGGAACAUGAAUAGCGUAAGCAAAUACAGUUCCACCGUUGGUCCCAGCCCACAGCGACGGCUCAUGAUUACACACAAGAGAUGAGCAAAAUAAAAAUCAAGAUAUUGGAGAAAAACUUGACAUUAUUAGAGACUGUCUGCCCACAUUAUGGAAACAAGUGGCUUUGUGUCCCACUAAAUAUGGACCUUCUGAAAUAUCAGACUCCACCGACAUACAGAUAUACAGGUUAAACAAGUUGUAUAACAUUUCCCUCACCAUCUCUUACGAAGGAAUCUGCAAAAUAAAGCGAUCGGACAAAUCCGGUGAAGGAGUCAUCAGCAGAUCGAGCCUCAAUCCUGCGCUGCACUGGGGCUAGCUCCAUUUCAUUCAACGCUUCCCGAUCCAGCCUGGCAUUGGCCUCCUGUACCUGGAGGCAGAAAAUGAUCCAUUUCACGAGAAGUGGACAGAACUGGGAACAAAUCACUUAGAAAAGUGUUACAAUGUCUUAUUUAAGUAAAAUAUGCUUUACUAGUCAUGUCUUUUGAAAGAUGAAUGUUAGGUAAUAUUGAGGAAGCGAAUCGGUGUGUCCUUUAUAGCAAGGAGAAUCGAGUGCACAAGAAAACCUGCAAUAUUGGGCAGUUUUGUUAUUUGUACUAAGCAUCAGAACUAGAACAGAGCAUCACCAGAACAGUCCAGGGUGAGGUGCUUGUUUUACAGGAAGUAAAGUGAGCUUGCUUAUGCUCACUAGAGUUAAGAGAAAAUCUAAUUGAAACAUAAAUCUUAGAGAUUGACAGGGUUACAUUAAGCGUGUAAUUCUAUGUCAGACAGAAGGAGAGAUUCUUUACCUUAGAGGCCUAUAGAUGCCAGACAUUUAGAUAGAAUUAAGUCUGAAAUUGGUAUUCAAGGAACUAAGGGGAUCAAGAGAUAAUGGAGAUAAUCAGCCCAUCAAGUCUAUACUAGUUCUCAGAGCAAUUCUAUUCUCCCCUUAUCUCCCUGUAGCCAGUUCUCAAUCAAUCACCUCCACCUUGAUAUGGAAUGGGGCGAGAAGUUGGAUGCUGGAUAACAAAACUGAGGCCUAUGGAAUUAAAAGGGUCACUGACGGAACAGAUAGGAAAUGUGUUAAAUGACAGGACAAAUGCUCGAAGUAAACAACGUUAUGCCAGCACAUUGGCGUUUCAGAUUUUCUGCAUUCGUCCUUUGCUCAUUCAUCUUGUCAAGUCUGAUCAAUUGCAAUUUUUAUAUUUUCAAAAUAAACUUAAUUCAUAAUAAAAAAUAUGCAAUGAAACUGUGAACCAUUCUUAAUACAUUCGUAUCUAUACAUUCAAUAUUGCUAGUGUUAUACCAAGUAGUAUUAGCACCUCCCUUCUCCCCUCACAUACGGCACCAUCAGAUGCAAGACUCAUUAGCCUAUCUCCCACCUCUUAAUCUUCACCCCUUCUCUGCAACUCUUCACAGCUCAUGACCAUGGAUGGGAAACAUUUAAUGCACAGUUACUGUCCGAUUAGUAUUUCCAGAAUGUUGUAUUAUUUCUAUUUUAUUUUAUUAAACCAAGAUCGUGAACCAUUGAUUUUCCCCCCCCACCACACCGGGGAUGCUUAAUGCUCAUUUAAAAUAGAUAGAUUUUUAGUGGUAAUCAAGAAACAGAAUAAAAAGUGUACGUAAGAUACAAAACAGGCUCUGAUAUUGAAUGGAACAGGAUUCAACAGCGUUACAGAUUAUUCCUUUUAUUUAUGGCGCACCCUUGGUACAGGGUGAGGUUUACAUUGAAGUUGUGCACAUUUAACAGAGCAUCAAAUGCAGCAUCUCCUCACAUCCCAGCACAAACGUACUCCCGUGCCAUUGCAACCCCUCGCAUACUAAGCACAUCCCAAAUACACAACCCUCUUGUUCCCUCAGAUACAUGCACAUCUCCCACCCUCAAGCCCAAUCAAACAUGCAGACCUCAUCUAACCUUAGCUGCACCAUUCCCUGGCACGGUUCGUUUCCUUCCAGACACUCUAGUCCCCCGGAUCCGACGGAAGGACUGUCGCAGUGAUUUCUUAAUCGACUUUACUCGUGACAGGGGCCCUUCAAGUGCCAAUUGGUCACUGGGGUGCAAUGUACAUCUACAUGUUCGAAGGAGAUUUAUGGAGGGAGAUUUAAAAAAAAAAAA